Molecule: long non-coding RNA, 929 nt
Organism: Pseudopipra pipra
Lineage: Eukaryota; Metazoa; Chordata; Aves; Passeriformes; Pipridae
Exons: 3
Source: RefSeq, a predicted model, not a curated record
GCCGCCGCCAGGGCCGUGGCCAGCGCGGCCAUGUUGCCGCCGGCUGCGCUGAGGGGAGGGGCGGCCGCGCCUUUUCCUCACACGAUUUAACUCUUUUUUUUCCCUUUCUCAGCUGCCGUAGGGCUGGUGUUACUGGCCCUGGUUUCGUCUGUGUCGAGAUGUUUGUGCAAAUGGAAACUGAUGACUCAGAAGGAUUGUUCUGGGACUGGUUCAUUAGACUCUGCAGAAAAUACCACAAUGGCUUUUCCAGAGAGGGCAAAUGUGAUUCCAUGAAUAAACACGCUGUACUAACUGGGUGUUUCCAACUAUUUCAGCUGUCUCUCCAAUUUCUGCAGAACACAUGAAUUAAAGGUGGUCUCAACUCUGUUAUCAUUUAUUCAUCCCUACAGUUUACCACAUCUGAUGGUAUAGUCCAAGCUGUGUUGUGAGACCCUGGUGUGAAGUGCAUUAACUAUCAGCACUUAAAGUACUAGUCUGUCAGCUGUUGACCAUAGGAACCCAGAAGAAAACCAGGCAGAUAUGUCUCUGAGAGUGCUGGCAGGAACCUUUGUACCAUGCAAAGACACAGCAUCAGUACUGCUUCAAGGCUCUCCCUGUGGCAGCAGGAGAGAAGAAGACAGAGAGUCAAGAUUCCUCCUGCGUCACGCUUCUUGUCACAUCUCUCCUCACCUGGUGCCCCAAGAGGUGUGAGCAGAGGCAGACUGCAUGUGAAUUGGGUUGCCUCACUUUCUGCUCUGAUGUGAGCAUCUUUGCAGGAGCUGAUCCCUGAACAAAGCUCAUUGGAGGGGGGUGAACAGUAUCAUAGCACUGUGGCCGGUGCAAAAAGGCACUGCUGAUCCCAGAUGUUUAAAAAUUGCAGAAGCUAGAAGAAUAAUAAAAUUAGCUAGAAAAAAUACUGGAAGAUUAUAAUAAAGCUUUGGCUCUUUUUA